Molecule: ribosomal RNA, 253 nt
Filed under: uncultured bacterium
Lineage: Bacteria
Description: partial 16S ribosomal RNA
Rfam family: Bacterial small subunit ribosomal RNA
Source: RNAcentral
GACAGAGGCCCCGAGCGUUAGGCGGAAUCACUGGGCUUAAAGCGUGUGUAGGCGGGCCCGUAAGUGUCUUGUGAAAUCCCACGGCUCAACCGUGGAACUGCUGGGCAUACUGCGGGUCUUGGGCCAACUAGGGGCAGCCGGAACAAGCGGUGGAGCGGUGAAAUGCGUUGAUAUCGGAAGGAACGCCGGUGGCGAAAGCGGCGUGCUGGCCCUCUUCUGACGCUGAGGCGCGAAAGCCAGGGGAGCGAACGGG